RNAcentral lists this ribosomal RNA (460 nucleotides) under uncultured bacterium. RNAcentral's name for it is "partial 16S ribosomal RNA". It matches the Rfam family "Bacterial small subunit ribosomal RNA", at positions 338 to 795 of the family's 1533-position model. The record is from RNAcentral.
CCUACGGGUGACUGCAGUGAGGAAUAUUGGUCAAUGGCCGGAAGGCUGAACCAGCCAUGCCGCGUGAAGGUCAGUGCCCUAUGGGCGUUAAACUUCUUUUGUGCGGGAGCAAUAAUGGUCACGUGUGGCCAGACGAGAGUACCGUACGAAUAAGCAUCGGCUAACUCCGUGCCAGCAGCCGCGGUAAUACGGGGGAUGCAAGCGUUAUCCGGAUUUAUUGGGUUUAAAGGGUGCGUAGGCUGUGAGGUAAGGCAGCGGUGAAAUGCCCCCGCUCAACGGGGUGAAGUGCCAUUGAUACUGCCUGGCUGGAAUGCGGAUGCCGUGGGAGGAAUGUGUGGUGUAGCGGUGAAAUGCAUAGAGAUCACACAGAACACCGAUUGCGAAGGCAUCUCACGAAUCCGCGAUUGACGCUGAUGCACGAAAGCGUGGGUAUCAAACAGGAUUAGAUACCCGAGUAGUC